This 292-nucleotide unclassified non-coding RNA is filed under the name plant metagenome. Its description in RNAcentral is "partial contains small subunit ribosomal RNA, internal transcribed spacer 1, and 5.8S ribosomal RNA". The stretch from base 244 to 292 matches the Rfam family "5.8S ribosomal RNA", at positions 1 to 49 of the family's 154-position model. The record is from RNAcentral.
UUUCCGUAGGUGAACCUGCGGAAGGAUCAUUAAUGAGUUGUCAUGGGGUUCGAUGCUGGCAGCCAGUUUUUGGAUGCAUGUGCUUGCCCUAACAAUCAUCUUCUUCCAAACACCUGUGCACAUUUUUGAGGGAGUCUUGAGUUGGUUGCCGCUCUUGGGUGAUUUUCUCACAUUCCCUUAAAUCAUUAUACGCUAUUAACAAUGUUGAACGUGCUCUGUGCCGCAAGGCCAUUAAUAUAAUACAACUUUUAACAACGGAUCUCUUGGCUCUCGCAUCGAUGAAAAACGCAGC